UACAUCUUAGUUCUUACAUUAUUGAAAAAUGACCAAAAUGGGUUUUUCUCUCCCUGACCCGGAAUCCGGGCUUUCUUCGCCUUAGCAUGUUUCCGUAACAGUGCUUUCUAAGGUUUGUUUCAAUAUCUGUAAAAGUUCCGAAAGUUGUUGCAAAUGUUUGAUGUUCACUUUCUGUAGGGUGGUUGGGAAUGUUUUGGAGAGGGAUAUGUUAGGAAACAAGAAAAAGAACUGAAAAUUUGGUUGUGUUUCGCGGUUUAGUUAGUUGCUUUUUGGUGGGUAUCAUUCAGUUCCUUGAUUCAUUGGUCCAAAUUGACAAUUCUAGUCGAGUUUUGGGAUUACUCUGGAUCUGGGUUCUGGUUAUGCUUCUGUUUUAGAUAAAUUAUGGCGGUUUUUCACAUUUUGGGGGUAUAGAAUUUGUGGUGAUGGUUGAUCAAUGUUACCAAAGUUUAGUUUUUUAAGCUUCUGGGGCUUCUAGAUUUUUUUAUUUCCUUUUUUUGGUGAGAAAUUUGGGAAUUUAAUGGCUUAGUAUUAUGUAUAUAUCAUUUUGGGAGUGAUUUUGGUUGAUUUCGAUAUUUUACAGGAAGAAUUUGAGUUUCAUUUUCUUCAAAGUAUAGAUCUUGGCUUUUGCUUCUGCAUAUUUGAUGAAUGGUGUUUACUAGGUUAUAUUUGGUGAGAAAUGUGGGUUGCUUUGGAGGGAGUGGGAAUAUUUUGAUACAAGUUUUCUGUUGUUUGAGGUGUAGAGAGUUGAGGACUAAAGAGGCAUCAAAUGUCGAUUAAGAGCAUUAUUCAGGAUAUGAGGGGUGAGUUUGGGAGCAUUUCCAGAAAAGGGUUUGAGGUGAAGUUUGGGUAUGGGAUGAGAUCCAGGUCCCACCGGGUAGUCCAGGAUAGCUUGGUGGUUGCAAUUGAUGCUUUUAAGCAGAGCUGUUGGGCUAAUUUACCACCGGAGCUUUUGAGGGAUGUGUUAAUGAGGAUAGAGGCCUCUGAAGGUACUUGGCCUCCCCGGAAAAACGUGGUUGCUUGUGCUGGUGUUUGCAGGAGCUGGAGAGAUAUCAUGAAAGAAAUUGUGAGAUCCCCAGAAAUUUCGGGCAAGUUGACAUUUCCAAUCUCCUUGAAGCAGCCUGGCCCAAGGGACUCCCUCUUUCAUUGUCACAUCAAACGGAAUCGUAGCAGCCAAACAUAUUAUCUUUAUCUUGGCUUAAAUCAAGUUUCAACUGAUGAUGGCAAGUUCCUUCUUGCUGCGCGGAAAUGCCGGCGCCCUACUUGCACAGAUUACAUUAUCUCUUUAAAUUCUGAUGAUGUGUCAAAAGGGAGUACCACCUAUGUGGGAAAGCUGAGAUCAAACUUUCUGGGAACCAAAUUCACAAUCUAUGAUGCGCAACCUCCACAUUCUGAGGCAAAAUUCACCAGGUGUCGUUCGACCAGGAUAGUUAAUUUGAGACAAGUGUCCCCUAAAUUCGCUGCUGGCAACUGUCCCAUUGCCCAUAUUUCAUAUGAAUUGAAUGUGUUGGGCUCCAGGGGUCCUAGGAGAAUGCAGUGUGUCAUGGAUGCCAUUCCUGCCUCUGCUGUUGAGCCAGGAGGUGUGGCAACUCCGUCUGAAUUCCCUCUCGGCAGUCUGGAUAGUUUUCCAUCAUCCCUUUCUUUCUUCAGAUCAAAAUCAACCCGCAGGGAGAGUUUCCAAUCUGGACAUUUUUCUGGUCAGAGUGAGGGAAUGCUGGUUUUAAGUAACAAGGCCCCUAGGUGGCAUGAACAACUCCAGUGCUGGUGUCUGAACUUCAAUGGACGUGUGACAGUUGCUUCAGUUAAGAAUUUCCAGCUGGUUGCUUCUCCCGAGAAUGGAACUUCUGGGCAAGAGCAUGAGAAUGUCAUUCUCCAGUUUGGAAAAGUGGGAAAGGAUGUAUUCACCAUGGAUUAUCAGUAUCCAAUCUCAGCUUUCCAGGCAUUUGCCAUAUGCCUCAGCAGCUUUGACACUAAGAUUGCUUGUGAAUGACUGAAGUGCAGGUCCAGAUUUAGUCUCAUUACUUGGAUUCCCAGUAGUUAAUUGCUAUGUGAGUAGAAGCAAAUAAAAAGAUUUUGUGAUGCAGUAGAAGUUGAUUGGAAGACUAGGGUUGCAGCAUGGACAUCAGGCAACAACGCCUCCAGCGGCUUUCCUCGAGAUGCCAUCUAGGCAGUUAGGCUUUUUACUUUUCUCUGUACAUAAAAAUUGUUGGUGUUGCGAGCAAAACAUGCUUAUGCCGGUUGUCUUCUUGCUAACAUAGUUUUGGUCUUUUUAGUGCUUGCAUAGUGUAUUUUGAGUGUGAGAAAUACUCCUGAGUUGGGACUAGUUUGUGAUUUUCUUAGUAGUGUUGUGUUCUGGCGGCCUAUAUUAUUAUUAUUAUUUUUAUUUUUAUUUAUUUUUAAUAAAUACUGUUUGUUCCUGCUACAUGUUUAAUUUGGAUAUGCAGUACCAUCCUUAAUAGAUAUGUUUCUUGUCAA
Molecule: RNA transcript, 2472 nt
Organism: Alnus glutinosa
Lineage: Eukaryota; Viridiplantae; Streptophyta; Magnoliopsida; Fagales; Betulaceae
Gene name: tubby-like F-box protein 3
Exons: 6
Source: RefSeq, a predicted model, not a curated record